This 406-nucleotide signal recognition particle RNA is filed under the name Homo sapiens (human). RNAcentral describes it as "HSALNT0376830". The stretch from base 1 to 293 matches the Rfam family "Metazoan signal recognition particle RNA". Rfam says of the family: The signal recognition particle (SRP) is a universally conserved ribonucleoprotein. Lineage: Eukaryota; Metazoa; Chordata; Mammalia; Primates; Hominidae. The record is from RNAcentral.
GCGGUGGCGCGUGCCUGUAGUCCCAGCUACUCGGGAGGCUGAGGUGGGAGGAUCGCUUGAGCCCAGGAGUUCUGGGCUGUAGUGCGCUAUGCCGAUCGGGUGUCCGCACUAAGUUCGGCAUCAAUAUGGUGACCUCCCGGGAGCGGGGGACCACCAGGUUGCCUAAGGAGGGGUGAACCGGCCCAGGUCGGAAACGGAGCAGGUCAAAACUCCCGUGCUGAUCAGUAGUGGGAUCGCGCCUGUGAAUAGCCACUGCACUCCAGCCUGAGCAACAUAGCGAGACCCCGUUGCCUAAGGAGGGGUGAACCGGCCCAGGUCGGAAACGGAGCAGGUCAAAACUCCCGUGCUGAUCAGUAGUGGGAUUGCGCCUGUGAAUAGCCACUGCACUCCAGCCUGGGCAACAUAG